This 301-nucleotide ribosomal RNA is filed under the name uncultured bacterium. RNAcentral describes it as "partial 16S ribosomal RNA". It matches the Rfam family "Bacterial small subunit ribosomal RNA", at positions 509 to 807 of the family's 1533-position model. The record is from RNAcentral.
CAGUAGCCGCGGGAAAACGAAGGGGGCUAGCGUUGCUCGGAAUGACUGGGCGUAAAGGGCGCGUAGGCGGAUCACGCAGUCAGAUGUGAAAUUCCUGGGCUUAACCUGGGGGCUGCAUUUGAGACGCGUGGUCUAGAGUGUGAAAGAGGGUCGUGGAAUUCCCAGUGUAGAGGUGAAAUUCGUAGAUAUUGGGAAGAACACCGGUGGCGAAGGCGGCGACCUGGUUCAUGACUGACGCUGAGGCGCGAAAGCGUGGGGAGCAAACAGGAUUAGAUACCCCAGUAGUCCCUGUCUCUUAUAC